RNAcentral lists this ribosomal RNA (253 nucleotides) under uncultured bacterium. RNAcentral describes it as "partial 16S ribosomal RNA". It matches the Rfam family "Bacterial small subunit ribosomal RNA", at positions 524 to 776 of the family's 1533-position model. The record is from RNAcentral.
UACAGAGGGGGCAAGCGUUAUUCGGAAUUAUUGGGCGUAAAGGGCGCGUAGGCGGCUUGGCAAGUGGAUGGUGAAAUCCCUCGGCUUAACCGAGGAACUGCCGUCCAAACUGCUUCGCUUGAGACCGGGAGAGGUGAGUGGAAUUCCCAGUGUAGCGGUGAAAUGCGUAGAUAUUGGAAGGAACACCAGUGGCGAAGGCGGCUCACUGGACCGGUACUGACGCUGAUGCGCGAAAGCGUGGGGAGCAAACGGG